RNAcentral lists this unclassified non-coding RNA (231 nucleotides) under plant metagenome. RNAcentral describes it as "partial contains small subunit ribosomal RNA, internal transcribed spacer 1, and 5.8S ribosomal RNA". The stretch from base 1 to 54 matches the Rfam family "Eukaryotic small subunit ribosomal RNA", at positions 1778 to 1831 of the family's 1831-position model. The record is from RNAcentral.
GGAAGUAAGAGUCGUAACAAGGUCUCCGUUGGUGAACCAGCGGAGGGAUCAUUACUGGAAUCGCAAGAUCCCACAACCCUGUGAACCUACCGAAACGUUGCCUCGGCGGGUGCCCGGCCCCCGCGCCGGGCGCUGCGCCCGCCGGCGGCCCCCUACUCUGUCUCUGCAGCGUGGCAUCUCAGAGUCCCAGAAAACAAGUCAAAACUUUCAACAACGGAUCUCUUGGCUCUA